This 891-nucleotide long non-coding RNA is filed under the name Numida meleagris (helmeted guineafowl). RNAcentral describes it as "lncRNA (ENSNMEG00000004978.1)". The record is from RNAcentral. Lineage: Eukaryota; Metazoa; Chordata; Aves; Galliformes; Numididae.
GUUGCUACAUAAGGAUGUGAUACCAGUGCUGGUCUUUCUUGUGAAAACAUCCAUGUGGGCUCCUGGGUUCAUUUUCUCUGUGCCCAGCAGGUUGUUUUGGAUGAAUGCUCUCCUUGGAAACCUGCCUACCUUUAUUGGCUGUAUGAGUGUGCAUGGUUAACUUGGAGAAAUAGCUAAAGCUAGUGCUGAAGGUGGCAAAAACUUCUUCACCCACAGAAGGAGGAGGCAGAAAGGAGGCAGAGUGACACAUCUGCUGCUCCACCAUGCUUCACCCAGACAGCAGAAUAACUGGACAAAGCCAGUGACUGUAGCCUUGGGAGAUGGAUGCCUGGGAAGGCUGGAGGAGGAGCGGUGCUGCUGGGGAGAAUGCCUGUGUGCUCCUUGGUCCUGGGUUGGCCAACUCCAUGUCAGACAAUGACAGUCCUCUGCCAUUUCAGCCACUGUUGGACACAGCUUAAGGAGUCCAGGGAAGGCUCAGGCUCUCCGGAGCACCCAGGAGCAACAUGUGGGAUCAGACUCUCUGAUACUACUGCAGCUCAUUGUCCCCAGGAGGGCAAUGUUUCCUUCUGCUUCAUACAGGAAAGGAGUCCUCUCUUAGGACUCAGGACUACAUUUGCAUGUGCUUUUUGGAAAGCACGUUUCAUACACAGGUCUGAGCCAUAUGUUAAAAUGAAACAGAUCGAAUUUGAAGUUAGCAUGCUGGUCUGAACUGCAGGAAAUGCAGCCCUGAGUUCUCUUUUCCUUUCUUUUUAUGCUUAUUUUCUUUUUCUUCCUUUAAAGCUCUUCUUUUUAUUUUCUUUUUCUUCCCUUAGAAUCCAUAUAGACGCUUUCAGAGUGAUUUUGUAUCCUCCCUGUAACAUCAAUAAAUUAUAUUGUCUGGGGAGAUAGUCA